Molecule: ribosomal RNA, 253 nt
Filed under: uncultured bacterium
Lineage: Bacteria
Description: partial 16S ribosomal RNA
Rfam family: Bacterial small subunit ribosomal RNA
Source: RNAcentral
UACGUAGGGUGCAAGCGUUAAUCGGAAUUACUGGGCGUAAAGCGUGCGCAGGCGGCUUUGCAAGACAGAUGUGAAAUCCCCGGGCUUAACCUGGGAACUGCAUUUGUGACUGCAUGGCUGGAGUGCGGCAGAGGGGGAUGGAAUUCCGCGUGUAGCAGUGAAAUGCGUAGAUAUGCGGAGGAACACCGAUGGCGAAGGCAAUCCCCUGGGCCUGCACUGACGCUCAUGUGCGAAAGCGUGGGGAGCAAACAGG